Molecule: ribosomal RNA, 398 nt
Filed under: uncultured bacterium
Lineage: Bacteria
Description: bacterial SSU rRNA
Rfam family: Bacterial small subunit ribosomal RNA
Source: RNAcentral
CAGGGCUUGACAUCCUGCUAACGAGGUAGAGAUACGUCAGGUGCCCUUCGGGGAAAGCAGAGACAGGUGGUGCAUGGUUGUCGUCAGCUCGUGUCGUGAGAUGUUGGGUUAAGUCCCGCAACGAGCGCAACCCUUAUUGUUAGUUGCUACGCAAGAGCACUCUAGCGAGACUGCCGUUGACAAAACGGAGGAAGGUGGGGACGACGUCAAAUCAUCAUGCCCCUUAUGUCCUGGGCUACACACGUAAUACAAUGGCGGUAAACAGAGGGAGGCAAGACCGUGAGGUGGAGCGAACCCCUAAAAGCCGUCCCAGUUCAGAUUGCAGUCUGCAACUCGACUGCAUGAAGUCGGAAUCGCUAGUAAUCGCGGAUCAGCAUGCCGCGGUGAAUACGUUCCGC